RNAcentral lists this ribosomal RNA (497 nucleotides) under uncultured bacterium. RNAcentral describes it as "partial 16S ribosomal RNA". It matches the Rfam family "Bacterial small subunit ribosomal RNA", at positions 28 to 507 of the family's 1533-position model. The record is from RNAcentral.
GACGAACGCUGGCGGCGUGCCUAAUACAUGCAAGUCGAGCGAUGAAGAUUGGUGCUUGCACCAAGUUGAAGAGCAGCGAACGGGUGAGUAACGCGUGGGGAAUCUGCCUUUGAGCGGGGGACAACAUUGGGAAACGAAUGCUAAUACCGCAUAACAACUUUAAACAUAAGUUGUAAGUGUGAAAGAUGCAAUUGCAUCACUCAAAGAUGAUCCAUCGUUGUAUUAGCUUGUUGGUGAGGUAAAGGCUCACCAAGGCGAUGAUACAUAGCCGACCUGAGAGGGUGGUCGGCCGCAUUGGGAGUGAGACACGGCCCAAACGGCUACGGGAGGCAGCCGUAGGGAUACUUCGGCAAUGGACGAAAGUCAGACCGAGAAACGCCGCGGGCGUGAAGAAGGAUUUCGGGUCGUGAAACUCUGUUGGUAGGGUAGAACGCUGGUGAGCGUGGAAAGCUCAUCAAGUGACGGUAACUACCCAGAAAGCGACGGCUAACUACGUG